GCACUGGUGAUGUAAUGGAAACAUCCCCGCCUUCUAAGCGGCUCAUACAGGUUCGAGUCCUGUCCGGUGUA
This 71-nucleotide transfer RNA is filed under the name Bacteroidota bacterium. Its description in RNAcentral is "Bacteroidetes bacterium (activated sludge metagenome) tRNA-Arg". It matches the Rfam family "tRNA". From Rfam's summary of the family: Transfer RNA (tRNA) molecules are approximately 80 nucleotides in length. Their secondary structure includes four short double-helical elements and three loops (D, anti-codon, and T loops). Lineage: Bacteria; Pseudomonadati; Bacteroidota. The record is from RNAcentral.